This is a small nucleolar RNA of Lineus longissimus, 76 nucleotides long. RefSeq annotates it as small nucleolar RNA SNORD79. NCBI's taxonomy places the organism in Eukaryota, Metazoa, Nemertea, Pilidiophora, Heteronemertea, Lineidae. The transcript has a single exon. The record is from RefSeq and is a predicted model, not a curated record.
ACAUGUAAAUGAUGAUUAACCAUGCUCGUGGGAAUCUCUCUGAAUAUCAAUGAGGAGUAGCUUGUCUGAUACAUGU